GACGAACGCUGGCGGCGUGCUUAACACAUGCAAGUCGAACGGAAAGGCCCCUUUGGGGGUACUCGAGUGGCGAACGGGUGAGUAACACGUGAGUAACCUGCCCUUGACUUCGGGAUAACUUCAGGAAACUGGGGCUAAUACCGGAUAGGAAUCCUUGCUGCAUGGUGGGGGUUGGAAAGCUUCGGCGGUUUUGGAUGGACUCGCGGCUUAUCAGCUUGUUGGUGGGGUAGUGGCUUACCAAGGCUUUGACGGGUAGCCGGCCUGAGAGGGCGACCGGCCACAUUGGGACUGAGAUACGGCCCAGACUCCUACGGGAGGCAGCAGUGGGGAAUAUUGCACAAUGGGCGGAAGCCUGAUGCAGCAACGCCGCGUGCGGGAUGACGGCCUUCGGGUUGUAAUCCGCUUUCAGCAGGGGCGAAGCUUGUGGUGACGGUACCUGCAGAAGAAGCACCGGCUAACUACGUG
Molecule: ribosomal RNA, 465 nt
Filed under: uncultured bacterium
Lineage: Bacteria
Description: partial 16S ribosomal RNA
Rfam family: Bacterial small subunit ribosomal RNA
Source: RNAcentral